ACGGGAGGCAGCAGUGGGGAAUAUUGCACAAUGGGGGAAACCCUGAUGCAGCGACGCCGCGUGAGUGAAGAAGUAUUUCGGUAUGUAAAGCUCUAUCAGCAGGGAAGAUAAUGACGGUACCUGACUAAGAAGCACCGGCUAAAUACGUGCCAGCAGCCGCGGUAAUACGUAUGGUGCAAGCGUUAUCCGGAUUUACUGGGUGUAAAGGGAGCGUAGACGGCAUGGCAAGUCUGAAGUGAAAGCCUGGGGCUCAACCCCGGAACUGCUUUGGAAACUGUUAAGCUAGAGUGCAGGAGAGGUAAGUGGAAUUCCUAGUGUAGCGGUGAAAUGCGUAGAUAUUAGGAGGAACACCAGUGGCGAAGGCGGCUUACUGGACCAUAACUGACGCUGAGACACGAAAGUGUGGGGAGCAAACAGGAUUAGAUACCCUGGUA
RNAcentral lists this ribosomal RNA (434 nucleotides) under uncultured Clostridium sp. Its description in RNAcentral is "partial 16S ribosomal RNA". It matches the Rfam family "Bacterial small subunit ribosomal RNA", at positions 341 to 792 of the family's 1533-position model. Lineage: Bacteria; Bacillati; Bacillota; Clostridia; Eubacteriales; Clostridiaceae. The record is from RNAcentral.